This 72-nucleotide transfer RNA is filed under the name Phrynosoma platyrhinos (Desert horned lizard). RNAcentral describes it as "tRNA-OTHER". Lineage: Eukaryota; Metazoa; Chordata; Lepidosauria; Squamata; Phrynosomatidae. The record is from RNAcentral.
GCCAGCAUGGCAUAGUGGUUUGAGUGUUGGACUGACUCUGGAGAGACCAGGGUUCAAUUCCCAGUUCAGUCA